Molecule: long non-coding RNA, 201 nt
Filed under: Gallus gallus (chicken)
Lineage: Eukaryota; Metazoa; Chordata; Aves; Galliformes; Phasianidae
Source: RNAcentral
CUUACAAAUGCAUCACUAUCUCUCACAAUCCAUAAACCUAUGUACCGCGAAAUAAUGCUUUCCUACGAGUGAUCCCAGUGCGGGUUUCCCUUUGUUACGCCUUGAAGGUGAGUUUUCCUUUCAUACGCACGUGAAUAUCUACCUGCACAGAGGAGUGUGUGAAUAGCAAAGCCCUAGGGAGAAUUAAAUAACACUCAUCCC